Onychomys torridus (southern grasshopper mouse) is the source of this 2543-nucleotide long non-coding RNA. RefSeq lists it as uncharacterized. The record is from RefSeq and is a predicted model, not a curated record. The transcript is spliced from 3 exons. Lineage: Eukaryota; Metazoa; Chordata; Mammalia; Rodentia; Cricetidae.
CCGGCGCCGCCGCGGACCCGCAGUUGCUAGGGAGAAUGCGCUUCCGGGUCAAGAGCGAGCGUUCCUGUGAGCGACGGUGGCCGUAUGGGGCCAAGAGCGAAGCGCCGGGCGAGUGGGCGGUGGAGAUGUUGGUCGCUGCGGCAGGGGCUCGAGCGAGGGGCGGUGCGUGGACCAGCCCGCGUGGGCAGCUCACGACGUCCCUGGGCUUCCUGUCCUCGCUGGUGAACUACGCCAGCGCCUUCCUUGUUACCAGCUCUUCUUACUCAUCCAUCCAUUGACCCAUCAGCACACCUGUGCGGGGCUACGUGCAUUAUUGGCACGUGGGGUACAGAGCUGCGUAACACCGGCGCGGUCUGUACCCUAGAAUGUGCGGGCUGGUGACCAAGGAGGUGACAGUGUCCGGCUCACCGAGGUGAGCGAAGAAGCUGUGAAAGCCUGCGUGAGAAAGGCCUGCCUAGGCACAAGAAGGGGAGAGCGGACAGACCUCGACCAAGUGGAGGAGGAGGGCAAAGUGUGCCAAGCCACGGAGUAGAUGAGUGUGGAGUGAAGGCCGCCUGAAGGCGGCGUGGCCAGACCAGAGAGGUGUUUUAAGAAUUGCUUAUAGUUAGGGGUGGAGCCUAGAACAUGACGACUCUGAACCAAACAGAAGGAACCCCCAAGGAGCGUCCAGAGAAGCAUGAGAAGGAAGUGUGUCAGUGAGGAGUUGGUCACCGUUGUCAACCUCUGUGGAGACCAUGUGUCCAGUGGUGCCCGUAGAAUAAUCAACAUUCAAGAAUACAAUUAAAUAAUACUGUUAAAGUAGAAGGUGCUGGAACGGGGCCCACUUCUGGUGAAGGAGGCCGCUGCAUUAUUCUACAUGUUGAAUCAAGAAAAAGCGAUAUGGCAAACUUCUAGAUUUCUUAAUUCUUUAAAAAGCCCCACUUUGGUAUACCUUACAUGUCUGCUUAAGGAAUGAACCAGGGGAUCUUUUGGGUUAUUUUUUUGGUUGGUUGGUUGGUUGUUUUUUGUUGUUGUUUGUUUGUUGUUGUUGUUGUUGUUUUUUAGCUUUAUCACAGAUCCUUCCGGAACCCUCAGCCAAACUGCCAUGUAGACAGAACUUGCCUAUUUAAACUGCAGAGACUAGAUAGCAGGGAUUUGGUUCAGUGACUAGGAAGCAGGCCAGCGAAUGGGAAAACCCACAAGAGACAAGAAAGGGUUGAAACAGUAAAAUAUGGGAUGGGGGUGCUAGAAAUGGAAGGUGAGGCUAAGAAAACCAAAACUAAACUCAAGAAUCAAAUGUCAAGGACAAGAACAAAGGAAGGAGAGCCAAGAUCAUUAGAUUACCCAAAACCUCAUUUUGACUGGACAUCUGGCAAGUGUGAUGACUGAAAAGUGACAGGGUGGACAUGCUACCACGACCUCUUAAGUGGAAUAAGCGUGGCUUCCUCGUGAAGAGCACAGCACACUUUGGAGUGGACCUGGACUAAAAGGCUUGCUCCACAUGUCUAUCUCUGGCCCAUGUACAUUCUUCAUAGAACAAGCAUGUCCAUAAGCUAUUCUGAAAGAUUUAGAAAUAAUGGUUUCCUCUGGGAAACUGUGACUCUAUUCCUGAUUGAUUUAACCAGCUUUCUAUGAAAGUAAAUCAAUUGAUUUUUUAAAAUGUGUGGCUGAAGAAUAUGGGAACCCACAAGGUAUGGUCAAGAGGACUGUCUUAAUCCAUUCUGAUUGCUGUGACAAAAUACCAUAGACUGAGUAUAAGCAGACUUCCCUAGAGGCUGAGAAAUCCAAAAUCAAGGCACAAACCUAUUCAGUGUCUGAUGUAGACCCGCUUCCUGAUUGAUAAUCAGCAAUCUGCUCAAUGUGUCCCCACAAGACAGACAAGACAAGGGAGUUCUCUAAAGUCUAUUACAAGACUAUCCAUCCAUGAAGACUUUGGUGCCCAUGACCUAACGCCCUAUCAAUGACUCCCUCUCCCAAUACUAUCUAUCACACAAGGUGUUGGGGAGAUGGGGAAGGAAACAGACAUGAAUUCUGUAGCAAAGACCUAGGACCAAAUCAAGACCAGUUAAGGUUUAGUAAAAGUAAGCUACAUCUGUUGUUUGGUGAAUAACAGGCGUAAAGCCAACUCAUGAUCUAGAAAAGAGAAGGUCCGAGUGCAUGAGUCGGUGAAUUCUAUCUUGCAUAUACCUUGUGGUGUAUUCUACUGAAGGGCCAGGUGAUUCACUGGGCUCCAUUCAGUUGGGUUUCUGUGGAAUGUCAGUGGUGUUGUAAGAGAUGGGAACUUACUGUUGUUCUGAAAGGCCUAUUUUAGUCUGCACUUCAACAAGGAAGUAAAGGAUCAGGAAAGGAGUGUGAACCAGGGUGAAAGCUGAAAACAUUCCAAGAAGCAAAGUAGAGGAGUGAGUGCUUGCUGGCCAGGAGGAAUCUGGGAAGACUUCAGAUGCUGAAGACCAUAUAUGUGGGCUGAAGGCAUGAGCCAAGAAUAAUGGUUCGCAUUUAAAAUUUUGCUGGACAAACAGCUCAGCUGUUAACAGCACUGGCUGCUCUUCCGGAGGACCCGAGUU